UGAGGAAUAUUGGUCAAUGGGCGGCAGCCUGAACCAGCCAUCCCGCGUGAAGGAAGAAUGCGCUAUGCGUUGUAAACUUCUUUUUCAGGGGGAUAAAAUUCUGUAUGUAUACAGGACUGAAGGUACCCUGAGAUUAACCAUCGGUUAACCCCGUGCCAGCAGCCGCGGUAAUACGGAGGAUGCGAGCGUUAUCCGGAUUUAUUGGGUUUAAAGGGUGUGUAGGCGGAAUAAUAAGUCAGUGGUGAAACCCUGCAGCUUAACUGUAGACUUGCCAUUGAUACUGUUUUUCUUGAGUAUAGUCAAGGCAGGCGGAAUGUGUAAUGUAGCGGUGAAAUGCUUAGAUAUUACACAGAACACCGAUAGCGAAGGCAGCUUGCUGGGCCGUUACUGACGCUGAUGCACGAAAGCGUGGGGAUCGAACA
RNAcentral lists this ribosomal RNA (422 nucleotides) under uncultured prokaryote. Its description in RNAcentral is "bacterial SSU rRNA". It matches the Rfam family "Bacterial small subunit ribosomal RNA", at positions 355 to 774 of the family's 1533-position model. The record is from RNAcentral.